Long non-coding RNA from Astatotilapia calliptera (eastern happy), 710 nucleotides. Lineage: Eukaryota; Metazoa; Chordata; Actinopteri; Cichliformes; Cichlidae. The record is from Ensembl.
GUGAUCCUAAAAUGUCGGUGUCGUGGUUUGUUCCUUCUGGUGGCAAAAAGGGAGAAAUAUAUGAUCCAUUAGUCAAACUAGAAACUUAACCUGAAGCCACUAUCUAUGUAAGGGUUUUCGGUGGUGCUCCAAGCACUGAGACUGGCCAGGAAAACACAAAGACUCUUCGUGAGGCCUUGGCUAAGACUGGGAAAACCUUUGAUCCCAGCACUCAUGCUGCAGCUACCUAUGAAUCCUAUUUUUCUUUUACUCACCACAAUGAAAUCUGGAUCAGUGCUGCCUCACAACAACAGAACUAAGUAAAUGCUCUUGUCAGGUUGCAGACCUUUUGCACUGCAAACUGAUUUCUGGAAUGUUGUGGUUUAGUUUAGUUCCUGGAACUGAAAACAUAGUAACAGUUUGUUCUACUUUUUCUUUAUUCUCUUUCAUCUGUGAAUAGAAAGUAAUGAUUUCAGAUCACCCCUUAAUCCCAGGAGGACUUGGCUCACAAAACAUUGUUUGCUGGUUGAUUGUUUAGAACACCUUGAUAACUUUUAGACUCUAACAUGACAUUUUAUGUCUAUUUCUGGAGUUAUCAUUUAUAUUGAAGAGUUUAUUUUUAACCAUCUUAUUCUUAAAAUUUGAAAAGUGCAUUGUCCCUAAGAGAUAUAAAAUUGUUUUGUCGUUUUUCUAAAUUCCUGUUAUUUCUUACUGGGUAAUUUAUAUUCUGC